Molecule: ribosomal RNA, 301 nt
Filed under: uncultured bacterium
Lineage: Bacteria
Description: partial 16S ribosomal RNA
Rfam family: Bacterial small subunit ribosomal RNA
Source: RNAcentral
CAGCAGCCGCGGUAACACAGAGGGUGCGAGCGUUAAUCGGAUUUACUGGGCGUAAAGCGUGCGUAGGCGGCUUCUUAAGUCGGAUGUGAAAUCCCUGAGCUUAACUUAGGAAUUGCAUUCGAUACUGGGAAGCUAGAGUAUGGGAGAGGAUGGUAGAAUUCCAGGUGUAGCGGUGAAAUGCGUAGAGAUCUGGAGGAAUACCGAUGGCGAAGGCAGCCAUCUGGCCUAAUACUGACGCUGAGGUACGAAAGCAUGGGGAGCAAACAGGAUUAGAUACCCCAGUAGUCCCUGUCUCUUAUAC